UACGGGAGGCAGCAGUGAGGAAUAUUGGUCAAUGNCCGAGAGGCUGAACCAGCCAAGUAGCGUGCAGGAAGAUCGGCCCUCUGGGUUGUAAACUGCUUUUAUAGGGGAAUAAAGUGCUUGCACGCGUGGAGUUUUGUAUGUNCCCUAUGAAUAAUGACCCGGCUAAUUACCGUGCCAGCAGCCGCNG
RNAcentral lists this ribosomal RNA (187 nucleotides) under uncultured rumen bacterium. RNAcentral's name for it is "partial 16S ribosomal RNA". It matches the Rfam family "Bacterial small subunit ribosomal RNA", at positions 340 to 520 of the family's 1533-position model. The record is from RNAcentral.